This 581-nucleotide long non-coding RNA is filed under the name Bos indicus x Bos taurus (hybrid cattle). Its description in RNAcentral is "lncRNA (ENSBIXG00005024952.1)". The record is from RNAcentral. Lineage: Eukaryota; Metazoa; Chordata; Mammalia; Artiodactyla; Bovidae.
UCAGACUUCUCCUUGUUUAAGCAGUUGUUCUCAUUUUUGUUAUUCUAGGGUCCCUGGACACUGGGUUCCAGCUGCUUACUCGGAGAAGACUUUGUAUGGAGUCUGGCAAAUCUUUCCAGCUGAGCAGGGAGGAAAAUAUUUCAGCACAGACAUUUGUGACCCUUCAUGAAGCUCCAGAGUUGGAAGCCAGACCGGGACCUAUAGUCCUUGCUCCCACACAUUAGGCCCAGGGCCCGGGUUGGCAGCCCCUGCUGACUUUUUCCUGCUGUUUGGAAAAACACCCCUCCGGUCACCACCUUCCAACUCACAUUGGAUUCAUUUGAAGCAGCCCACAGGGAAGGGUGUCGCUGAGGAAACAAAACCCAGACCCCCCAGGCCUCUGAGUGAGGGGUGGGAGCUUGCUGGGAAAACACUUCCACCUGAGAAGCACAAAGGACCCCAGAAGUAGAGGAAGCUGGCCUGAGGCCAACCGGAGAGGAUUAUCUUUCCUGGAGCGAACUGGUUAAACCUGAGCAGAAGAAAUCAGUGCUAUGGGACCUGCAGGCCAGUUCUUCCUUGGAAAGGAUGUUUCUGUUGUGGGA